This 426-nucleotide ribosomal RNA is filed under the name uncultured bacterium. Its description in RNAcentral is "bacterial SSU rRNA". It matches the Rfam family "Bacterial small subunit ribosomal RNA", at positions 359 to 776 of the family's 1533-position model. The record is from RNAcentral.
GAAUCUUGCGCAAUGGGCGAAAGCCUGACGCAGCGACGCCGCGUGGAGGACGAAGGUCUUCGGAUUGUAAACUCCUGUCGAGAGGGACGAAUGCCGUGAGGGUGAACAAUCCUCACGGUUGACGGUACCUCCCGAGGAAGCCCCGGCUAACUCCGUGCCAGCAGCCGCGGUAAUACGGAGGGGGCCAGCGUUGUUCGGAAUCAUUGGGCGUAAAGGGCGCGUAGGCGGCCGACCAAGUCGGAGGUGAAAUCCCUCGGCUCAACUGAGGAACUGCCUCCGAUACUGUUCGGCUUGAGUCCCGGAGAGGGUAGUGGAAUUCCGAGUGUAGCGGUGAAGUGCGUAGAGACUCGGAAGAACACCAGUGGCGAAGGCGGCUACCUGGACGGGUACUGACGCUGAAGCGCGAAAGCUAGGGGAGCAAACAGG